Mustela lutreola (European mink) is the source of this 370-nucleotide long non-coding RNA. RefSeq lists it as uncharacterized. The transcript has 3 exons. Lineage: Eukaryota; Metazoa; Chordata; Mammalia; Carnivora; Mustelidae. The record is from RefSeq and is a predicted model, not a curated record.
UCAAGAGCUAAGAGGUGAUCUUGUUUAUGGAAUCUUCAGCUCAGCAUGUAAGAGACGGACAGGCCAGUGGACAUAGCACAGCCACAGGAGGAAGACAAAACAGGAAUAAGGAGGGAAGCACCUUUCCGAAAGACCUCCAAAAUAUGGCAGAAAGGGACAGAGGAGGUGGCUUUGAUGGUCAUGGUAACGAUCGUCAGGCCGACUGAGGGAAUACCAGGUGUGCACGUCCAGCGUCACAGCCCCGAAUAAUCUGCAAUACGGCUCAUUUCGAUUUCUCAGCUCCGUGCCAGCCCCUUCAAUAAUAGCAGGCAAUUUAAUUUCAUCUGUUAGGGGUUACGUUCUCUUUACUCUAAUAAAGCAAAUGCUUCUG